This 381-nucleotide ribosomal RNA is filed under the name uncultured bacterium. RNAcentral describes it as "bacterial SSU rRNA". It matches the Rfam family "Bacterial small subunit ribosomal RNA", at positions 28 to 386 of the family's 1533-position model. The record is from RNAcentral.
GAUGAACGCUGGCGGCGUGCUUAACACAUGCAAGUCGAACGAGGCACUUAACUUGAUUUUCUUCGGAAUUGAUUGUUCUGUGACUGAGUGGCGGACGGGUGAGUAACGCGUGGGUAACCUGCCUCACACAGGGGGGACAACAGCUGGAAACGACUGCUAAUACCGCAUAAUGUAUCGAGAGGGCAUCCUCUUGAUACCAAAGGAGCAAUCCGCUGAAAGAUGGGCUCAUAUCUGAUUAGUUAGUUGGUGAGGUAACGGCUCACCAAGACUGCGAUCAGUAGCCGGACUGAGAGGUUGAACGGCCACAUUGGGACUGAGAUACGGCCCAGACUCCUACGGGAGGCAGCAGUGGGGAAUAUUGGGCAAUGGGCGAAAGCCUGA